Molecule: ribosomal RNA, 484 nt
Filed under: uncultured bacterium
Lineage: Bacteria
Description: partial 16S ribosomal RNA
Rfam family: Bacterial small subunit ribosomal RNA
Source: RNAcentral
AUUGAACGCUGGCGGCAGGCCUAACACAUGCAAGUCGAGCGGAUGAAGGGAGCUUGCUCCUGGAUUCAGCGGCGGACGGGUGAGUAAUGCCUAGGAAUCUGCCUGGUAGUGGGGGAUAACGUCCAGAAACGGGCGCUAAUACCGCAUACGUCCUGAGGGAGAAAGUGGGGGAUCUUCGGACCUCACGCUAUCAGAUGAGCCUAGGUCGGAUUAGCUAGUUGGUGGGGUAAAGGCCUACCAAGGCGACGAUCCGUAACUGGUCUGAGAGGAUGAUCAGUCACACGGGAACUGAGACACGGUCCAGACUCCUACGGGAGGCAGCAGUGGGGAAUAUUGGACAAUGGGCGAAAGCCUGAUCCAGCCAUGCCGCGUGUGUGAAGAAGGUCUUCGGAUUGUAAAGCACUUUAAGUUGGGAGGAAGGGCAGUAAGUUAAUACCUUGCUGUUUUGACGUUACCAACAGAAUAAGCACCGGCUAACUUCGUG